Molecule: small RNA, 492 nt
Filed under: Histoplasma capsulatum
Lineage: Eukaryota; Fungi; Ascomycota; Eurotiomycetes; Onygenales; Ajellomycetaceae
Also listed under: 1 other name
Description: hypothetical RNA
Source: RNAcentral
GACAAGGGCGAAGGUGCAUUUGGAUCAGAGUCCUCGACAUAAGUUUUAGAUGCAUGGGUCAGGUAACCCUGCGGUAUAUAUCAGUGGGGAUCAUAUAAGACGAGCCCGGAGAAGGCCUUUUGGAACACUCCAGCACAUAGAAAUACAUGUUUCAAGGAUUAAGAUACCUAGGGGGAGGGUCCUUACCACUGAGUAUUCAGAUAUCACAUGAUCGAUUCCGGGAAUCCGCUUCUGGAUUUCCGCCUCCAUGACUUUGAGCGCACAAUAGAGCAAGAUCAAUAAAACGCAGGAUUCCGAGCAGCGGCAAUUAGGAUCUAGCCGUGGUACUGCGUCAAACUCGGCGUCAGGUAUUACUGGAGUUUUUUCAAGACUUUCCAGUGAUGCGGGACCGCUAAUUCGUCGCAAACUGGUGGUUAGGUUACUGGUAUCGAGAACCCGUGGUACGCAGCUUAGACUUUUCUGCCAACUAAUUUUGCUAAGUAAUCGCAGGGG